RNAcentral lists this ribosomal RNA (257 nucleotides) under uncultured bacterium. RNAcentral describes it as "partial small subunit ribosomal RNA". It matches the Rfam family "Bacterial small subunit ribosomal RNA", at positions 26 to 286 of the family's 1533-position model. The record is from RNAcentral.
AGGACGAACGCUGGCGGCGUGCUUAACACAUGCAAGUCGAGCGGUAAGGCCCUUCGGGGUACACGAGCGGCGAACGGGUGAGUAACACGUGGGUGACCUGCCCUCCACUUCGGGAUAAGCCUGGGAAACCGGUCUAAAUACCGGAUAGGACCUUGAGACGCAUGUUUCUUGGUGGAAAGUUUUUUCGGUGGGGGAUGGGCCCGCGGUCUAUCAGCUUUGUUGGUGGGGUGAUGGCCUACCAAGGCGACGACGGAUAG